Molecule: ribosomal RNA, 433 nt
Filed under: uncultured bacterium
Lineage: Bacteria
Description: partial 16S ribosomal RNA
Rfam family: Bacterial small subunit ribosomal RNA
Source: RNAcentral
AACGAACGCUGGCGGCAUGCCUAACACAUGCAAGUCGAACGAGACCUUCGGGUCUAGUGGCGCACGGGUGCGUAACGCGUGGGAACCUGCCCUUAGGUUCGGAAUAACUCCCCGUAAGGGGUGCUAAUACCGGAUAAUGUCUUCGGACCAAAGAGUUAUCGCCUUUGGAUGGGCCCGCGUUGGAUUAGCUAGUUGGUAGGGUAAAAGCCUACCAAGGCGACGAUCCAUAGCUGGUCUGAGAGGAUGAUCAGCCACACUGGGACUGAGACACGGCCCAGACUCCUACGGGAGGCAGCAGUGGGGAAUAUUGGACAAUGGGCGAAAGCCUGAUCCAGCAAUGCCGCGUGAGUGAUGAAGGCCUUAGGGUUGUAAAGCUCUUUUACCCGGGAUGAUAAUGACAGUACCGGGAGAAUAAGCUCCGGCUAACUCCGUG